GCGGGUAUGGUUUAGUGGUAGAAUGCGACCUUCCCAAGGUUGAGAUCGGGGUUCGAUUCCCCGUACCUGCACAA
RNAcentral lists this transfer RNA (74 nucleotides) under Candidatus Zambryskibacteria bacterium RIFCSPHIGHO2_01_FULL_44_22b. RNAcentral describes it as "tRNA-Gly". It matches the Rfam family "tRNA". Rfam says of the family: Transfer RNA (tRNA) molecules are approximately 80 nucleotides in length. Their secondary structure includes four short double-helical elements and three loops (D, anti-codon, and T loops). The record is from RNAcentral. Lineage: Bacteria; Candidatus Zambryskiibacteriota. RNAcentral also lists the same sequence under 1 other name.